Molecule: non-coding RNA, 1264 nt
Organism: Odocoileus virginianus texanus
Lineage: Eukaryota; Metazoa; Chordata; Mammalia; Artiodactyla; Cervidae
Source: RefSeq, a predicted model, not a curated record
GGAUACAACUUAGUCACUGAACAACAACAACGUGAAGAUCCUACCAAUUUCCUUUUCUGAAAAUAGCUCAAGGAUUCAUACCUUUUUCAUCCCCAGACUCAAGAUAAUAGAUUCUCAUAAUGAAGUGCAACCCUUUGCCUCCAUAUCCUCAUGUGCAUGCAUUCACCCAUAUAUCCAUCCAUCCAUCCAUCCAUCCAUCCAUCUACCUACCCACCUACCGACUCAUUCACCAGUGUUGGUUUACUGUUGUCCCAAGCCUAUCUGCCACAUACCGUCUACACUUAUGGUGAGUUAUUUCCCAGGAGGCUUCUCAGUCUAGCAUGCAAAUAGACUCCUUGCAGACAACAUAACCCAUCCAUCCAACAUUUCCAAAUGUUUCUGAAUUCAGUAGAGAACACAGCCUAACGCUCAAACUAGGAUCUUUAACAUCUGUCUGUCUUUCAGAUGUUUGUAGGUGCCAGUUAAGGAUUCUCACCACUUUGAAAAAUGGUGGGAAUGGAAAUACUAUACGGGCUGCAUUUGAGAACCAGACUGCAAAGACAGGCCAUGACAGCCGAUUCCUAGACUGAACAGAUUUGAUGGCCUAAGGACAACUUUGACCCCUUUGGGUUUCCUGCUGCCUCCUUGAAUUUUCUGGACAUCAUGUUUCUGCAUGCCCUGCACCUACCAGUGUGUGUGUGUUGGGUGGGGGGAAGUACUGAGGGUCUAGGCAGACCCACCAGCCACACUCAUGUCCCGGGAGAGCCCCGGGAAGGAAACCCUCCCCGAGUUGGCCCAGAGUGGACAGCCCGAGCUUCCCCACGCUGACUGGCCACUUGCCAAGAGGGAGAAUGUUGUAAAGUGCAUCACACAGGUGCCCUCUGGAGGGUCUCUCACUCAGCACCCGCAUAACUUAUUCUUGCUUCUUCUUGGAACAUUGGGAUUAUAAAUGUAACCCAGAUGUGGGCUGCGUCCCUCUUCACCUUGGAGAUGUUGCUAUAAUUGGCUUGGACCUCAGCCAAUACCACAAGUUGGAAAGACCUAAAGCCCUCCAUUUGGAUCUCAACAAGUUCAGAGACCCCCUGUGGAUGCUGCCUGACACCACCCUUUACUCCAUCCUCAAACCCCUGCCCGAUCCACAGGAAACCACCCACAGCAGGCAAGGGGUGAGAUUGUAGAUUUCACUGAUGCUUUGGGUAGCUCAGUGGUGAGUUUUUCUCCCUCCUUCUCUUUCAAAAAUAAAACAAGUUUUUCUCUGCCUCAAACAGAGCAGUUUAGCAACCAG